This 253-nucleotide ribosomal RNA is filed under the name uncultured bacterium. RNAcentral describes it as "partial 16S ribosomal RNA". It matches the Rfam family "Bacterial small subunit ribosomal RNA", at positions 524 to 776 of the family's 1533-position model. The record is from RNAcentral.
UACGUAGGGCGCAAGCGUUGUCCGGAAUUAUUGGGCGUAAAGAGCUCGUAGGCGGUUUGUCGCGUCUGCUGUGAAAACUCGAGGCUCAACCUCGGGCUUGCAGUGGGUACGGGCAGACUAGAGUUCGGUAGGGGAGACUGGAAUUCCUGGUGUAGCGGUGAAAUGCGCAGAUAUCAGGAGGAACACCGGUGGCGAAGGCGGGUCUCUGGGCCGAUACUGACGCUGAGGAGCGAAAGCGUGGGGAGCGAACAGG